AACGAACGCUGGCGGCAGGCUUAACACAUGCAAGUCGAACGGCAGCACGGGAGCAAUCCUGGUGGCGAGUGGCGAACGGGUGAGUAAUAUAUCGGAACGUGCCCAGUCGUGGGGGAUAACGCAGCGAAAGCUGUGCUAAUACCGCAUACGAUCUAUGGAUGAAAGCGGGGGAUCGCAAGACCUCGCGCGAUUGGAGCGGCCGAUAUCAGAUUAGCUAGUUGGUGGGGUAAAGGCCUACCAAGGCGACGAUCUGUAGCUGGUCUGAGAGGACGACCAGCCACACUGGAAAUGCGACACGGUCCAGACUCCUACGGGAGGCAGCAGUGGGGAAUUUUGGACAAUGGGCGCAAGCCUGAUCCGGCAAUGCCGCGUGCAGGAUGAAGGCCUUCGGGUUGUAAACUGCUUUUGUACGGAACGAAACGGCUCUGGUUAAUACCUGGAGCUAAUGACGGUACCGUAAGAAUAAGCACCGGCUAACUACGUGCCAGCCGCCGCAGUAA
This 500-nucleotide ribosomal RNA is filed under the name uncultured bacterium. RNAcentral describes it as "partial 16S ribosomal RNA". It matches the Rfam family "Bacterial small subunit ribosomal RNA", at positions 29 to 523 of the family's 1533-position model. The record is from RNAcentral.